RNAcentral lists this ribosomal RNA (253 nucleotides) under uncultured bacterium. RNAcentral describes it as "partial 16S ribosomal RNA". It matches the Rfam family "Bacterial small subunit ribosomal RNA", at positions 524 to 776 of the family's 1533-position model. The record is from RNAcentral.
UACGAAGGGGGCUAGCGUUGUUCGGAUUUACUGGGCGUAAAGCGCACGUAGGCGGAUUGGUCAGUUAGGGGUGAAAUCCUGGAGCUCAACUCCAGAACUGCCUUUAAUACGGCCAGUCUCGAGUCCGGAAGAGGUAAGUGGAACUCCUAGUGUAGAGGUGGAAUUCGUAGAUAUUAGGAAGAACACCAGUGGCGAAGGCGGCUUACUGGUCCGGUACUGACGCUGAGGUGCGAAAGCGUGGGGAGCAAACAGG